CAAAUUUGAAUUUAAUUUCGAAAAUAUUAACCAAAAACGAUUAUUACCAAAUAUGUAGAGCCAUAAACUAUGUUAAGUAAUGCCCUGACAACACUAACAUAAAUGUAUUUAGGUGUGUUUUGCUAACCGAAAUCUAAUUCAAAUUUUGGAGAAAUUUGCGUGAUAUAUGAGAUUGAAAUAUAUUUGGAAUGUUUUUUAUUUGUUAAUUAAUUUAUUGCAGAAAAAAAUAAAUAAUUAAAAGCCAGUGGCAGCCAUUGUAAAUAAGUUCCAACUCCAGGAUUUAUUUCAUAAAAUGGCUGCAAAAAUGUAUAUAUAGAUGUCCCGACUAGAUGGACUUUUACAUAUGUACUUACUUAUUCCUUAAUAUACAUGUCUUUCUUCUAAUCCUCCUCUUUCUUGGU
RNAcentral lists this small RNA (401 nucleotides) under Arabidopsis thaliana (thale cress). RNAcentral describes it as "ATSL020450". The record is from RNAcentral. Lineage: Eukaryota; Viridiplantae; Streptophyta; Magnoliopsida; Brassicales; Brassicaceae.